This 912-nucleotide ribosomal RNA is filed under the name uncultured Bacteroidota bacterium. Its description in RNAcentral is "bacterial SSU rRNA". It matches the Rfam family "Bacterial small subunit ribosomal RNA", at positions 1 to 905 of the family's 1533-position model. The record is from RNAcentral. Lineage: Bacteria; Pseudomonadati; Bacteroidota.
GGUCCAGACUUUGAUUAUGGCUCAGGAUGAACGCUAGCUACAGGCUUAACACAUGCAAGUCGAGGGGAAACGACAUUGAAAGCUUGCUUUUGAUGGGCGUCGACCGGCGCACGGGUGAGUAACGCGUAUCCAGCCUGCCCACCACUUGGGGAUAACCUUGCGAAAGUAAGACUAAUACCCAAUGACGUCUCUAGAAGGCAUCUGAAAGGGAUUAAAGAUUUAUCGGUGAUGGAUGGGGAUGCGUCUGAUUAGCUUGUUGGCGGGGUAACGGCCCACCAAGGCUACGAUCAGUAGGGGUUCUGAGAGGAAGGUCCCCCACAUUGGAACUGAGACACGGUCCAAACUCCUACGGGAGGCAGCAGUGAGGAAUAUUGGUCAAUGGACGAGAGUCUGAACCAGCCAAGUAGCGUGCAGGAUGACGGCCCUAUGGGUUGUAAACUGCUUUUAUAAGGGAAUAAAGUGAGUCUCGUGAGACUUUUUGCAUGUACCUUAUGAAUAAGGACCGGCUAAUUCCGUGCCAGCAGCCGCGGUAAUACGGAAGGUCCGGGCGUUAUCCGGAUUUAUUGGGUUUAAAGGGAGCGUAGGCCGGAGAUUAAGCGUGUUGUGAAAUGUAGAUGCUCAACAUCUGCACUGCAGCGCGAACUGGUUUCCUUGAGUACGCACAAAGUGGGCGGAAUUCGUGGUGUAGCGGUGAAAUGCUUAGAUAUCACGAAGAACUCCGAUUGCGAAGGCAGCUCACUGGAGCGCAACUGACGCUGAAGCUCGAAAGUGCGGGUAUCGAACAGGAUUAGAUACCCUGGUAGUCCGCACGGUAAACGAUGGAUGCCCGCUGUUGGUCUGAAUAGGUCAGCGGCCAAGCGAAAGCAUUAAGCAUCCCACCUGGGGAGUACGCCGGCAACGGUGCAACUCAAA